GCGACUACAAAUCACCACAUGGACGUAUUAAAAAGGAAACAACAUCUUCAAAGCAGCAAACAACACCCUAAAAACGGCCACCUGGAGAUCUGGAUCGUGCAGUAAGGUCAGCCCUCCGGUGGACGGCUGACCUGUUCAGGAUGAACUUCACCUUUCAUCCAUAUCCAGCUGGGAUAAUCUGCAGGCCUCCACGAGCCUCGACAGGAUGAUGCAGGUGGCGGGCAUUUUGGAGAGAGAGAGAGAGAGAGAGAGGAAAGGGAAGAAGAAGAAGAAGGCAGGGAGGGGAAGAGGAGGACGAGGCGAGGAGGGGGAGGCGUGUGUUCAAAAUCCACAAAGGUUUUGUAAUAAAUGCAUCGGCGACAAUAAAAACA
Molecule: long non-coding RNA, 371 nt
Organism: Amphiprion ocellaris (clown anemonefish)
Lineage: Eukaryota; Metazoa; Chordata; Actinopteri; Pomacentridae
Source: Ensembl